Molecule: transfer RNA, 72 nt
Filed under: Blumeria hordei DH14
Lineage: Eukaryota; Fungi; Ascomycota; Leotiomycetes; Helotiales; Erysiphaceae
Description: tRNA-Gln (CTG) (tRNA-Gln-CTG-7-1)
Rfam family: tRNA
About the family: Transfer RNA (tRNA) molecules are approximately 80 nucleotides in length. Their secondary structure includes four short double-helical elements and three loops (D, anti-codon, and T loops).
Source: RNAcentral
GGCCAGUUAUUGUAGUGGGCAUCACGUCGGAUUCUGAAUCCGGAGACGCCGAUUCGAUUCCGGCACAGGUCU